GUUUGUAGUGCAAAUGGUUUUAACUUUCUGCACGUUGUUGUAGUUCUUCUUUAAUGAACCGGAAGUCUUGCCCACAGGCUUAGGAUACUUCCGCGUUGGAGAAUAAGGUGUUGUUUACAGAAAUGUAAACGAGAGGUGAAACUGCACUGAAAGGCUCUCUUUGCUGCUGCUGCAGAGGAGGCUCAGUGACACAUUUUGCAAUCGACGUCUUUGACUGAGCCAUGUCAAGUUUCUGGCGAAGUAAUUCAUCCCCUACAAACACCUGAAUGGGAUUUAUCAAGUAGAAAUAUUGACUGCCGCGUCUUGGCGUGAAGAAAAUGUGUGUUGUGGAUGACUCUGGUGCUCCUCUAAUUGGCGGGAGGCACCAAUCGAACCCCAUUUCGAACGCCGCGCGCCGCUCAGUAGUCCUUGACUAGUCCGCGUUGCUAUGGUAACUCCCCCAACCCCCCCUCCCCAAAUGCUGCAGGCCGCGUGGAACACUCUGAAGAGUGAGUGAUAGAGAGACAUCUCCACAGUGGAGAAAGACAAGAAUUGCUGCAGUGAAAAGGGGGAGGGUGUGCACAAAAACGAGAUUGGAUCAAAAAAAAAAAAAAAAUAAAAUCAUUCCCCUCAUCCCCGUCCCCCACCCGAACCUUAUCUUUUGCAUCGGUUUUAGGGUGCACAGGACCCCUCGCCUUGCUUUGCAGUCUGGGCACGUUGCUUCCAAACUUCAGACUGCGUUCAAUUAUUUAUCUGCUUCACCAGACAGCCAGCAAUGUUCAAGCAUCUCAUAACGCCUGUGGCAUAUCGCGGGGAAAAAAACAUUAUUGAUGAGAGUAUAUGGGUAAUAAAAAACAAGUCAAACGAGUUGCACGGACGUGAUUACCGUCCCCGCCUCUGUGAUAAAAAUCACCGGUGGUGACAAAUCACUUGCCUUUCUGUGACUCAAACUCAGAAAAUAUUUGGCAAACGAUGCAAAGCGUGGGUGCUGGAAACAGGACUCCGGGAUGUUGAGCUUUUACCUGUAUGUGCGCAGUGGGAGGGGCAGAGAAACCGAAUCUGCAGGCGGCAAACGUGCAGGAGCUCAUUAGAAAACAUGACCAUACUUCAGUGCAGAACAAGCGGCGGAGCUUCAGCCUUCUCACCGGCAGAGGGAGCUCUGUCGCCCCCUACCGACGAACCGCAGGUUUUAAGAAACAGUUCGUCCACAAAAUCGAAAGUUGUCAUUCUUGUUGUAGAACACAAUUACUAUAAUUUUUUUUUUUUUAAACGCCGAGAGGUUUUUGUUAAUACAAUAAAAGUAAAAUCUUAUAUGUUUUGUUAAUGUUCCACAGAAUAAAUCAUUCUGGUUUACAAUGACAUAAUGAACUGAGUGAAUGGAUGACGUCAGGUUUUUUCCAUUUAUUAAUUGCCUGUAUAGACCUUAGUUAAGGAAGCACAAUAAUGUUUUAACAAUAAUCAAAACAAGGUUGUAAGGGACAAAAGUAUGCCUUAGUGACUCAUUUUCAAUAUUAAAUAUUCCAUAAGGCAUCUAACCUGACUAAGGUCUAUUACAUAAAAUAGCAUCUCUGUGAUGUGCACUGCAGUUGCUUGAAUGACUGUAACCCCCCCCCCAAAAAAAAGAUUUUAAGUAGAAGCAUGAAUCUAUGCAUAAGGUAAUACUGAAUGUUCCAUAGAAACCUAGAAUUAUUUCAAGACAGACACAGUUUUUCAAUUGCAUUUGACAGUUAAAUAUUACAGCAAGCAUUUGUGAACAUGCCAAAUCAUCCCUAGUUCUUACGACAGUCUACUCAU
This is a long non-coding RNA of Carassius auratus (goldfish), 1773 nucleotides long. RefSeq lists it as uncharacterized. NCBI's taxonomy places the organism in Eukaryota, Metazoa, Chordata, Actinopteri, Cypriniformes, Cyprinidae. The transcript is spliced from 2 exons. The record is from RefSeq and is a predicted model, not a curated record.